Leopardus geoffroyi (Geoffroy's cat) is the source of this 1122-nucleotide long non-coding RNA. RefSeq lists it as uncharacterized. The record is from RefSeq and is a predicted model, not a curated record. NCBI's taxonomy places the organism in Eukaryota, Metazoa, Chordata, Mammalia, Carnivora, Felidae. The transcript has 4 exons.
CCCUGGCUGUUAGAGCCUAUGGAGAUCACCCUGUUCCUUUCACAUGCUGCCCUGGCUGCUGGGAGCUGUGGAACGUGAGCAAGCAGGUAGUGGGGAGGGGGCAGUCAAGUCUGCCUAGACCUACAUGCAGUUCCCAUAAUCGGUCCUUUUGAAAACUUCCCACUGGCCAUAUCGAACAAGCAUCUGUACCCACAAUAAGAGUGAGUUCCCUGCAUUUGCCAUCUUUUCUCAACUAACACCACCUAUAGAAGCUGACAAUGACCGUUGGGCUUUUCCAGUGGAUGCCGGAACCCAUUUCUUGCAGCCCUGGGGGGGGGGGGGGGAAGGCAGAAUAACUGGCAGCAGGAGGAACAGAGAGAGGAGGCAACUUGGCCAAGAUCAGGUAGCAAGUGAGGAAAAGGCCCCUCUCCUUUGGGGUCUGGGUUCGUUGCCGACUGGGCCUGCACUGAAGACAGCCAAGUGAGGACAGCCCAUCAUCCUGGAGCUGCUGCCGCAAAUCCAAAUUAACCAGAGGAAGGCAGCAGGCAGCACCAGGGAGGAUGAGCACCUAAGGGCCGGCCAUGCACCCUCCAUGUCCAGAAGAACUCAGACAUCACACCAUGAGAAGCCCAAACCACGUGGAGAAGCCAGGUCGAGGUACUCCAUUUGCCAGGGCCAGCCGAGUUCCCAGCUCAUAGCAUCAACUGCGAGCCCUGAGAGGGUGCCAUCUUGGACAUCCAGCCGCAUGGAGCCUGCAGGUGACUCCAGCUCUAACCACUACCUGAUGCAACCACUUGAGAAAUCCCAAGAAAGAAUCUCCCAGAUGAGCCCAGUCAGCCCGUGGAACUGUAAGAAAUAACAACACAUUCUUAUUUUAUGCUUCUAAAAAUAUAUUUGUAAAUAAAUCUUACAGAACUGUCAUUUUACUAGAGCUCAGAGAUUCCAUGUGAUGUAUCCAAGGUCGCACAAUGAGGCAGAGCCCGGUGCGUUUGACUGUGGGCACCCUAUCGCCACCACCAGAGAAGAUAAAGAGAAGUGAGCUAUCCAGGGCAGGAGUGAAGAGGGAGAGAGGAAAAGAGUUGGAUUUUAUAGAAAAUGUCUCAAGUUAAUUCUGUUUAGGAAAAAAAUUAUUUCUUGAAUGUG